Long non-coding RNA from Mauremys reevesii (Reeves's turtle), 640 nucleotides. RefSeq lists it as uncharacterized. Lineage: Eukaryota; Metazoa; Chordata; Testudines; Geoemydidae. The transcript has 4 exons. The record is from RefSeq and is a predicted model, not a curated record.
CUCCUGCUUGACAAGAAACAAAGCCAGCCUUUCAGCAGAAUUCCUGUUCCCUUCAGCAUUGUUUGUACACCACAGCAGAGUUCCUUGAUAAGGGUCAUGGCUCAAAUGAAAAGCCAAUGAGGAAGGUGUAAUAAGCCUCGUCACUGCUUCUCUGUACCUGGAGGCCGACACGAAUUCGCUUGGUUAGCGCUCCCUCUGGAAAGACUGCCUGCACUUGUGGUACCACAGUGCUGCUAAGCACACCUCCCUCAGGUCCAAUGAGGUUGCUGUCCUGUUUGAUCCGGGACACCACUGCAAAAUACUGUGGGAAAUCCCUGGUGAUGAUACGGCAGAUACGCUUCUUCUCAAGCUCCUCCGGAGUGUCAAGUACUGAGUGAAAAACGAGCCACAUUCACACAACAAGAAUUUCAGAGAGACAACACAGCAAUUUCCAAACAAGGAAAGCUCUACAUACUUAGCAAUUAACGGUAUGUCUUCGACUCCAGCACAAAGCCCCUCUCCCUGCCGUAGAUCACUGUCAGUGCCACUGUGGAGUUAUUACAAUAGUAUCUGUGAUUACUCAGCCCCUCCAGACAAGCAGUCAUCCAUAAAAGGAAUGUACCUGGUGGACAAUCAAAGGAGUUGCUCCAUUCCUAUGGAC